CAUACUCAUGUCAUCGUCUUCCCAAUCCCGUAGCAAAGAUCCUCCGAUUAAAACGCAAUUGAAAUUUCCCCUCGUAACAUAACUAUAAAUAGGUGUCAAUAAUAUAAGUAUUUUCAUAUUUUCUUCACAAUUUUUCUGGUGCUAUAGUGGCAAGGAAAUCAAUUCCAACUUCCGUCCGAAGUACCCAAAGGGCUAAAAGAGUUUGACUGGCAUUCCAAGCAGAUAAAAAGGGCUUUGGCUCUCCCAUUUUGAAGAAACAUGAAUCCUAGACGGGACAUGCGGAACAACAGAGUUGCACUUUUUGAUGGCAUUGAGGAAGGUGGCAUAAGGGCCUCGUCUUCUUACUCGCACGAAAUUGAUGAGCACGAUAAUGAAAGAGCAAUGGAAGGAUUGCAAGAUAGAGUCAAUCUGCUAAAGAGACUGUCAGGUGAUAUACAUGAGGAGGUGGAUAGCCACAAUCGCAUGCUGGAUCGAAUGGGAAAUGAUAUGGACGCAUCAAGGGGAAUACUCUCAGGAACCAUGGACAAGUUUAAGAUGGUAUUUGAGACCAAAUCAAGCAGAAGAAUGUUUACGCUUGUGGCAUCUUUUGUGGUUAUUUUUCUUGUCAUAUACUAUCUUACUAGGUAACUGGUCUAUGGUGUAUUUGAUACAGCUGCGAGGUUGAUAUGAGAAUUUGGAAGACCCUUUUAAUACAUGGUUACUUACCGUAAACAAUGUACUUCCUACAUGAUUCAAGACAACGUCAAAGGAAUUAAGGAUUUGAAUCUUGAGCUUAAGCUCUAUUCGUUGGAAAGAUAUAAGAGAAUUGUAUAUGCAUUAAUAUAAUUAAUAACAAUGUGACUUAUCAAACUUUAACAGACUAUUUGAUCGUUUGAAUAGAAAUGGAUACAUACUGCCAAUCGGUUAGAACUUUUGAAAUUGUGUUGUUGGUAUCUACGGAUUGCGCAGCUAAACUAUAUUAUAAAGGGGGGCCGCUUAAUGGAAAAAGUGCAUGGUUGCAUAGAACUUUGUGCAAAUUUUCUCAUUGGAGCUCAUAAUAAACUUAUCCAAAAACAACUAUACAGCCUCUGGAGGCUUGAUCUCCAGUACCGUUCACCCCAUUGAUUCACCAUAUGAAGACCAAAUCGGCUUAAAGUUUUUGCGACUUUAUAU
Molecule: non-coding RNA, 1152 nt
Organism: Durio zibethinus
Lineage: Eukaryota; Viridiplantae; Streptophyta; Magnoliopsida; Malvales; Malvaceae
Source: RefSeq, a predicted model, not a curated record